RNAcentral lists this unclassified non-coding RNA (200 nucleotides) under soil metagenome. RNAcentral describes it as "partial contains internal transcribed spacer 2 and large subunit ribosomal RNA". The record is from RNAcentral.
GCUUGCGGGUCUUUACUGAUGUAAAGGUCAGCUCUCCUGAAAUACAUUAGCGGAACCGUUUGCAGUCCCGUCACUAGUGUGAUAAUUAUCUACACUGUGAUGAUUGCUCUCUGACUAGUUCAGCUGCUAAUCGUCCGUUAUGGACAAUGUUUAAUGAACUUCUUGACCUCAAAUCAGGUAGGACUACCCGCUGAACUUAA